This 90-nucleotide transfer RNA is filed under the name Trueperaceae bacterium. RNAcentral describes it as "tRNA-Ser". It matches the Rfam family "tRNA". Rfam says of the family: Transfer RNA (tRNA) molecules are approximately 80 nucleotides in length. Their secondary structure includes four short double-helical elements and three loops (D, anti-codon, and T loops). Lineage: Bacteria; Thermotogati; Deinococcota; Deinococci; Trueperales; Trueperaceae. The record is from RNAcentral.
GGAGGGUUGGCCGAGCGGUCGAAGGCGGCGGUCUUGAAAACCGUAGACGGGGAGACUCGUCCGGGGGUUCGAAUCCCUCACCCUCCGCCA